AGCGAACGCUGGCGGCAGGCCUAACACAUGCAAGUCGAACGAACCUUUCGGGGUUAGUGGCGGACGGGUGAGUAACACGUGGGAACGUGCCUUUAGGUUCGGAAUAACUCAGGGAAACUUGUGCUAAUACCGAAUGUGCCCUUCGGGGGAAAGAUUAAUCGCCUUUAGAGCGGCCCGCGUCUGAUUAGCUAGUUGGUUGAGGUAAUGGCUCACCAAGGCGACGAUCAGUAGCUGGUCUGAGAGGAUGAUCAGCCACAUUGGGACUGAGACACGGCCCAAACAGGGAGGCCGGACAGCGGUGGGUAGUAUUAUGGGAUGAGCGCAAAUCAAACAAAGCCGUGCGGAGGGGGAGGGAAAUGGGGUGGGAAUGGGAAAUUGUCUGUCCAGAAACGUGAGUGACGGUACUCGGUAAAGAAGCCCCGGCUAACUUCGUG
RNAcentral lists this ribosomal RNA (434 nucleotides) under uncultured bacterium. RNAcentral's name for it is "partial 16S ribosomal RNA". It matches the Rfam family "Bacterial small subunit ribosomal RNA", at positions 29 to 507 of the family's 1533-position model. The record is from RNAcentral.